CGGCGGACGGGUGAGUAACACGUGGAUAACCUACCUAUAAGACUGGGAUAACUUCGGGAAACCGGAGCUAAUACCGGAUAAUAUUUUGAACCGCAUGGUUCAAAAGUGAAAGACGGUCUUGCUGUCACUUAUAGAUGGAUCCGCGCUGCAUUAGCUAGUUGGUAAGGUAACGGCUUACCAAGGCAACGAUGCAUAGCCGACCUGAGAGGGUGAUCGGCCACACUGGAACUGAGACACGGUCCAGACUCCUACGGGAGGCAGCAGUAGGGAAUCUUCCGCAAUGGGCGAAAGCCUGACGGAGCAACGCCGCGUGAGUGAUGAAGGUCUUCGGAUCGUAAAACUCUGUUAUUAGGGAAGAACAUAUGUGUAAGUAACUGUGCACAUCUUGACGGUACCUAAUCAGAAAGCCACGGCUAACUACGUGCCAGCAGCCGCGGUAAUACGUAGGUGGCAAGCGUUAUCCGGAAUUAUUGGGCGUAAAGCGCGCGUAGGCGGUUUUUUAAGUCUGAUGUGAAAGCCCACGGCUCAACCGUGGAGGGUCAUUGGAAACUGGAAAACUUGAGUGCAGAAGAGGAAAGUGGAAUUCCAUGUGUAGCGGUGAAAUGCGCAGAGAUAUGGAGGAACACCAGUGGCGAAGGCGACUUUCUGGUCUGUAACUGACGCUGAUGUGCGAAAGCGUGGGGAUCAAACAGGAUUAGAUACCCUGGUAGUCCACGCCGUAAACGAUGAGUGCUAAGUGUUAGGGGGUUUCCGCCCCUUAGUGCUGCAGCUAACGCAUUAAGCACUCCGCCUGGGGAGUACGACCGCAAGGUUGAAACUCAAAGGAAUUGACGGGGACCCGCACAAGCGGUGGAGCAUGUGGUUUAAUUCGAAGCAACGCGAAGAACCUUACCAAAUCUUGACAUCCUUUGACAACUCUAGAGAUAGAGCCUUCCCCUUCGGGGGACAAAGUGACAGGUGGUGCAUGGUUGUCGUCAGCUCGUGUCGUGAGAUGUUGGGUUAAGUCCCGCAACGAGCGCAACCCUUAAGCUUAGUUGCCAUCAUUAAGUUGGGCACUCUAAGUUGACUGCCGGUGACAAACCGGAGGAAGGUGGGGAUGACGUCAAAUCAUCAUGCCCCUUAUGAUUUGGGCUACACACGUGC
RNAcentral lists this ribosomal RNA (1143 nucleotides) under Staphylococcus aureus. RNAcentral's name for it is "bacterial SSU rRNA". It matches the Rfam family "Bacterial small subunit ribosomal RNA", at positions 96 to 1225 of the family's 1533-position model. The record is from RNAcentral. Lineage: Bacteria; Bacillati; Bacillota; Bacilli; Caryophanales; Staphylococcaceae.